This 1041-nucleotide ribosomal RNA is filed under the name Salmonella enterica. RNAcentral's name for it is "bacterial SSU rRNA". It matches the Rfam family "Bacterial small subunit ribosomal RNA", at positions 1 to 1031 of the family's 1533-position model. RNAcentral also lists the same sequence under 3 other names. The record is from RNAcentral. Lineage: Bacteria; Pseudomonadati; Pseudomonadota; Gammaproteobacteria; Enterobacterales; Enterobacteriaceae.
AAAUUGAAGAGUUUGAUCAUGGCUCAGAUUGAACGCUGGCGGCAGGCCUAACACAUGCAAGUCGAACGGUAACAGGAAGCAGCUUGCUGCUUUGCUGACGAGUGGCGGACGGGUGAGUAAUGUCUGGGAAACUGCCUGAUGGAGGGGGAUAACUACUGGAAACGGUGGCUAAUACCGCAUAACGUCGCAAGACCAAAGAGGGGGACCUUCGGGCCUCUUGCCAUCAGAUGUGCCCAGAUGGGAUUAGCUUGUUGGUGAGGUAACGGCUCACCAAGGCGACGAUCCCUAGCUGGUCUGAGAGGAUGACCAGCCACACUGGAACUGAGACACGGUCCAGACUCCUACGGGAGGCAGCAGUGGGGAAUAUUGCACAAUGGGCGCAAGCCUGAUGCAGCCAUGCCGCGUGUAUGAAGAAGGCCUUCGGGUUGUAAAGUACUUUCAGCGGGGAGGAAGGUGUUGUGGUUAAUAACCGCAGCAAUUGACGUUACCCGCAGAAGAAGCACCGGCUAACUCCGUGCCAGCAGCCGCGGUAAUACGGAGGGUGCAAGCGUUAAUCGGAAUUACUGGGCGUAAAGCGCACGCAGGCGGUCUGUCAAGUCGGAUGUGAAAUCCCCGGGCUCAACCUGGGAACUGCAUUCGAAACUGGCAGGCUUGAGUCUUGUAGAGGGGGGUAGAAUUCCAGGUGUAGCGGUGAAAUGCGUAGAGAUCUGGAGGAAUACCGGUGGCGAAGGCGGCCCCCUGGACAAAGACUGACGCUCAGGUGCGAAAGCGUGGGGAGCAAACAGGAUUAGAUACCCUGGUAGUCCACGCCGUAAACGAUGUCUACUUGGAGGUUGUGCCCUUGAGGCGUGGCUUCCGGAGCUAACGCGUUAAGUAGACCGCCUGGGGAGUACGGCCGCAAGGUUAAAACUCAAAUGAAUUGACGGGGGCCCGCACAAGCGGUGGAGCAUGUGGUUUAAUUCGAUGCAACGCGAAGAACCUUACCUGGUCUUGACAUCCACAGAACUUUCCAGAGAUGGAUUGGUGCCUUCGGGAACUGUG